GAGCUCAGUGGUAGAGCAUCUGUUUUGUACAGUUUUGCACACAGAACGUCCUAAGUUCAAUCCUCGGCU
This is a non-coding RNA of Podarcis lilfordi (Lilford's wall lizard), 69 nucleotides long. Lineage: Eukaryota; Metazoa; Chordata; Lepidosauria; Squamata; Lacertidae. The record is from the annotation of a GenBank genome assembly.